GAUGAACGCUGGCGGCGUGCCUAAUACAUGCAAGUCGAGCGAACGGACGAGAAGCUUGCUUCUCUGAUGUUAGCGGCGGACGGGUGAGUAACACGUGGAUAACCUACCUAUAAGACUGGGAUAACUUCGGGAAACCGGAGCUAAUACCGGAUAAUAUUUUGAACCGCAUGGUUCAAAAGUGAAAGACGGUCUUGCUGUCACUUAUAGCUGGAUCCGCGCUGCAUUAGCUAGUUGGUAAGGUAACGGCUUGCCAAGGCAACGAUGCAUAGCCGACCUGAGAGGGUGAUCGGCCACACUGGAACUGAGACACGGUCCAGACUCCUACGGGAGGCAGCAGUAGGGAAUCUUCCGCAAUGGGCGAAAGCCUGACGGAGCAACGCCGCGUGAGUGAUGAAGGUCUUCGGAUCGUAAAACUCUGUUAUUAGGGAAGAACAUAUGUGUAAGUAACUGUGCACAUCUUGACGGUACCUAAUCAGAAAGCCACGGCUAACUACGUG
Molecule: ribosomal RNA, 497 nt
Filed under: uncultured bacterium
Lineage: Bacteria
Description: partial 16S ribosomal RNA
Rfam family: Bacterial small subunit ribosomal RNA
Source: RNAcentral